GAGGGUAUAGCUCAAGUGGUAGAGCACACGCUUAGCAUGCAUGAGGUCCUGGGUUCAAUCCCCAGUGCCUCCU
RNAcentral lists this transfer RNA (73 nucleotides) under Camelus bactrianus (Bactrian camel). It matches the Rfam family "tRNA". From Rfam's summary of the family: Transfer RNA (tRNA) molecules are approximately 80 nucleotides in length. Their secondary structure includes four short double-helical elements and three loops (D, anti-codon, and T loops). The record is from Rfam by way of RNAcentral. RNAcentral also lists the same sequence under 2 other names. Lineage: Eukaryota; Metazoa; Chordata; Mammalia; Artiodactyla; Camelidae.